RNAcentral lists this long non-coding RNA (628 nucleotides) under Ananas comosus (pineapple). RNAcentral describes it as "long non-coding RNA (ACOM_LNC041199)". The record is from RNAcentral. Lineage: Eukaryota; Viridiplantae; Streptophyta; Magnoliopsida; Poales; Bromeliaceae.
AUGCCUCGCAAUAUGCAAUAUGUAUAUCAUGCAGCUCUAUGCAAAUAUGCAACCAUUCAGUAGAUCUAUUGAUUCUACAUUCAACUCUACUAACUUUAGCUCAUGUCAUUUAGCCUCUAAGGUCUCUAUUACCUUAGCUCUUACCAUUAUCAUUAGCUUAUAAGGUUUCUAUUAACCUAAUCAAGCUAACCACCUGACUCGGCCUCGAGUCAAUCAUCUGCGGAUAGUCCGCGCACUGGCCGCCCUCUGUGACUUAACCAGCUGGCGGCGAAGUCGUCGCACACGCCGAACACUGGUUCAAGUCCCUUGACUUGGCCAUCUGGCGGCGAACGAAUCGCACCUCACCCAACAAUGGCUCAAGUCGAUCUGGCGGCAUAAUCCACAAACUGGCUUAACCAUCCGGCGGCGAAAUCGUCGCACACGCCACGUCAAUGGUUCAAGCCCCGGGCGGUGAUCUCGGCGCACUCACCUCCCAAUCCAUCCUUGGUAUCAACCUCGGCGACGAAAUCGUCGCACACGCCCUAGCCUUGAUACCAAGGUUAUCAAAGAUCUUGGGAUUCCGGAAUCCACUUCCACAGGUCGAGGGUCCAUAGCCAACCCUAUGCUGUCGACCUAAAACAUCCUAGUG